RNAcentral lists this long non-coding RNA (771 nucleotides) under Hordeum vulgare. RNAcentral's name for it is "long non-coding RNA (HVUL_LNC005831)". Lineage: Eukaryota; Viridiplantae; Streptophyta; Magnoliopsida; Poales; Poaceae. The record is from RNAcentral.
AUAUGUGUUAAACUAAAAACUCAAUUAUCCAUUCGGGGACAUAUGCUCUUCUUUGUAUGAGUUUAAGAAAUGUUGUAUUUGAUUGUGUCAUGAUAUUGUAUAUUGCAUAAUAACAAUGAUGACUUUUAUUUACAGGCAGUAAUAAUACGUACUAUUCAUAGAACCAAAUCAUGUAAAAAACCAUAGGCGUGUUCUCUUUCAACUCUGAUAAGAUGCUUCCAUGACCUCGGAUGACUUUUGUUCAUAUUCCACUCAAAUUGACUUUGAAACAUGUGAUGGCGAAAUAAAGGAUUAUCCUUGCCGCCAAAUAGUGGAUCCACAUCGUGACGAUAUUAGCCCGACCAACAGAAAAAAGAAAAUUGAAUUGCAUAAACUAUUUUGUCAGAAAGUUUGCAGUAUUUGUGUAAGCAAGUCUUAAUUGGGAUGUGUUGAAUUUUUUUAAUUUGAAUAAGUUUUGCAUACAAUUCUAGUUUGAUAAUAGAGACUUUAGAUUUAGCGAUUCUUCAGAUUUAGUGAUUGUAUUCUAAUUGAGGUAUAUACUAUCAUAGCAGCUCCCAAAAGCUUAUGAUCAGAUACCUAAGAAAAUUCACAAGAAUUAUUUAUGUAGCCGGUCCAAAUCAUUUUGGGCUUCGGGGGAUGUCAAAUAAUUACUUUUCAUACUAAACUUUUAUACUUAUUUAAAAUAUGUUUACCAUAUUAUAAUUUAAAUUAAUAUAAUUUUAUAUUACUCAAUCACAUAUAUUUUUUCCAAAUAAUAGUUAUAUUAUUCAU